GACGAACGCUGGCGGCGUGCUUAACACAUGCAAGUCGAGCGGACAGACCCGGCUCUUGUUCCUUGCUCGAGUGGCGCACGGGGGUGUAUCACAUGAGUAACCCGUCCUUAACAUUGUGGUAACUUCUGGGAACUCGGGCUCAUAUCGGGUAGGAGCUACUGCUGCACGGUGUUGAAUGGUAAGAUUCGGUGUUUGGGGCUCGACUCGCGGCUUAUGAGCUUCUUAGUGUGGUAGUGGCUUACCAAGGCUUCGACGGCUAGCCGGCCUAAGAGGGUGACCGGCGACAUGGGUACUGAGAUACGCCGCAGACUCCUACGGGACGCAGCAGUGGGGAGUAUUGCACAACAGGGCGGAGCCUGAUGCAGAGGCGCCGCGUGCGGGAUGCUGGCUUACGGGUUGUAAACCACUUUCGCCGGUGCCGAAGCGUGAGUGACGGUAACGGGUAAAGAAGCAACGGCUAACUACGUG
Molecule: ribosomal RNA, 468 nt
Filed under: uncultured bacterium
Lineage: Bacteria
Description: partial 16S ribosomal RNA
Rfam family: Bacterial small subunit ribosomal RNA
Source: RNAcentral